AGAUACUGCCUUCUUCCACAGACAUUUCACAGGCUAAUGGACAGCCAGAGGAUCGCGAGACAGCUGCCAAAGUGAAUGGGAUGACUGGGUCAAUACCUGCAAACUCUCAGCAAGAGGCAGAUAGCACCCACAGCUCUCACAUCACUUCAAACCUGUAUGCUGGUUCUCCUAUCAAAUUAACAAGCCCGGAGAGGAUCAUAGCCCUGCAUCGAGAACUGAGACAAAACCAUUGCAAAACUUACCGGAUACCUUCAGUUGUCUCCUCCAACUCAAAUCCACAGGCUGAUCGCAACUUGCCCACGAUCCAUAAGGAAGCCCCUUGGCCUCUGCUGUCGAGGAUGAAGGAUGCACUGGUGCCUCUGUAGCAUAGUGGCUUCUGGGCCACGAAGGGGAGGGAUCAGUUGUAGAAACGUGAUGAUGUGUUUUGGGGUCAAAUAGGAAAUCAGCAUGCAGGUGCUACUCCCCAGGGAACAAAACAGAAAAAUGCCAUUAUGAAUAAGGCAUGGCUCUCUAGAGAAAAAACAGAUGGCUCAACCUCAGCUACCACAGCAAAAAGCUAUUUGUCAGACGUGUUGUCAGCAAGUAAUAAAGGUCGAAAUCCUGUGGGUAGGAGUCAGCUGCACGGGAAAGAAUAAAACCUGCAGAAAUAAAACAAGGGAUGACUUUGCCAGUUGGAUCAGUCUCCAUUAUUUAACAGUGAGAAGAGGCAGCCUGAUGUUUGAUUCAGAGAGAUGAUGAUGAAUUAAGAUGUUGCAAUAUGACUUUCAAUGUAGAAUACAAGGAAAGAACAUAUCAGUCACACAGAAGAAGCAGUAGAGCUCCCAAGGACUGAUGAAAUGUGCUUUGCCCUGGUGGUGACUGCAGCUGCUACGUCAUGUGAAAAAAAUGAGAAGUUGCCCUAAAUUACCAUCUGCGACGUUUUAGCCACCUCCUGUAGUGGAAGCUGGUCAUGUGGGCCAACCCUCUGUGUGGUUUGAGACUGAGUGUCGUUUUGCUUUCUUGGGAUCUCAGCAUUUGCAUUUUAAAGCAAUUACCAAGUUAAGCACAAUCUCUGUGUUCAUGGGUCUGCCUGCAUGGGCAUGUAGGUAUCUUCAGCCUCGUAUGGUUUUGAGAAUUUCUGAAAGAGCCUUUGAUCUGGGUUGGGAUGUUUAGUAUUUCUGAGGGCACAUACUUGAGGGUACAAACUGUUUAGCAAAUGAGACAGAAUGGCAUUUUUACAAGGGUAAGUAGGAAUUGGGAAUGUACUUCACGUGUGCUGAGAGGCACUUGGAACAUCAGAGUGCUGUGUCCUAAUACUCUGAGUAUUUCAACCGCAUGAAUAGGCCACACUGAAUUUAACUUUCAGAAAAGUCAUUUGCGGGCAUACAUGCUUUUCCUGAAAUAGGUGUGUUUGUGCACACUGGCUGGUAAUAGCACACAUGGUGCAAACACAUUUUGCAAUCACACUGCACAUUACAGAUUACUCACCCAUAACCCCUUACUGCUCAUCUCCGAGUAUCAUUUUUGAAGGCAGGGAGAUGCGGAUACAGGCGCAAGACUUGUGGAUCAGGGGUUGUAUGUGUACAUCCAUCCAUUCUGUAACUAAAGGCACACAGCACUGUUAAGUCAGCGGCAAUACUCGUCCUGACCUGAACGGCAGCAGCCGUGGGUACUGCUCUCAAACUGCCUCUUAUGUUGUGAUGCACUUUCAGUUUUGAUAACUGUUUUAUGACUUGUAUUUUCAUUUUUAUUUUUUUUAAUGUUGAGCUAACUGCUAGGAUGUGCUGUCUUCGCAAUGCUUAGUUGCCCAGCAAUUACAGAUAUACUUCAAAAGGAAGCAGAAGAAUAAUAAACCGUGGAAUCCCAAAUCAGAUUAAUGUAAUGUGCAUUUCUAGAUCACGAUUAGUAACAAGAUAACAUGGUGUCAUGGUAACACUUGAAACUUAACCACAAGUUCCUAAAAUAAAGCAAUGACAUAUGUAUAAGUUUCUAUCCAUUUGCAUAC
Manacus vitellinus (golden-collared manakin) is the source of this 1984-nucleotide long non-coding RNA. RefSeq lists it as uncharacterized. The transcript has 4 exons. The record is from RefSeq and is a predicted model, not a curated record. NCBI's taxonomy places the organism in Eukaryota, Metazoa, Chordata, Aves, Passeriformes, Pipridae.